Molecule: long non-coding RNA, 744 nt
Filed under: Olea europaea subsp. europaea
Lineage: Eukaryota; Viridiplantae; Streptophyta; Magnoliopsida; Lamiales; Oleaceae
Source: RNAcentral
CGCAAAUUGAAAAUAAAAGUAAGUUGGUUGUGUCGCAGGCAAACAAAGGUAGGAAGCGCGUGACAUUCGAGCCAGGAGAUUAGGUUUGGGUGCACCUUAGGAAGGAGCGAUUUUCAGAGCAAAGGAAGUCCAAGUUGCAACCGAGGGGCGAUGGACCAUUUCAAGUCAUUGAAAAGAUAAAUGAUAAUGCAUACAAGUUGGACCUUCCAGGUGAGUAUAAUGUUUCGACUACUUUUUAUGUAUCUGAUCUCUCUCUAUUUGAUGCAGAUUCAGAUUCGAGGACGAAUUCUUUUCAAGAGGGAGGGGAUGAUAUGACCCGGGAGUCGAGCCCGACGAAGGUAAGUGCGAGAUGAGAUCCGUUGAUAGUCGAUGGUGGACUAAUGACGCGAUCAAGGGCAAAGCAAGUGAAACAAGCGAUGAGAUUGCUCAUUCAAGAGACCUUUCAUGGAACUAUGUUCGGGACUCAAAAUGGAGCAACUUUCAUGUUCGGGUCGAAUGCCAAAUCAAUUUGGAUCAAUUUGUUAUCAAGCGACGAAACUGGAGGCUAAAAACAAGCCUGUGCGACCGCACAGGCUAAAAUACCAUGCGACCGCAUAGGUGCUUACCGAAACUUAAAGGAGCCAACCGGAUUGAACCAUGCGACCGCAUGCCAAAAAUUUGGCGAAUUUUUUAAUUUUGGCAAUUUUCCAUAUUUUUUUAGUUUUUGAUUUUUUUCCAUAUUUUGGGGAUUGUGAUCGACUUUUG